AUAUUUAUAUGUAUAUAUAUAUAUUUCAAUAUGUGACCACAUGUGUAUCGUUGGGGAUUUUCGAUCUCCGUCUUCCCUUCCUUGGACCUUUCUUUCUCUAUGUUUCUGACGAAGAGCUCCGCUCGAAACAUUAAGUCCUCCUUCUUCCCUUCCUUCCUG
Molecule: long non-coding RNA, 159 nt
Organism: Octopus sinensis (East Asian common octopus)
Lineage: Eukaryota; Metazoa; Mollusca; Cephalopoda; Octopoda; Octopodidae
Exons: 3
Source: RefSeq, a predicted model, not a curated record